RNAcentral lists this non-coding RNA (90 nucleotides) under Pseudomonas frederiksbergensis. The record is from RNAcentral. Lineage: Bacteria; Pseudomonadati; Pseudomonadota; Gammaproteobacteria; Pseudomonadales; Pseudomonadaceae.
UGUGGGAGUGAGCCUGCUCGCGAUGAGGCCGUGUCAGGCGACAUAAGUAUCGACUGAUACGCCGCCAUCGCGAGCAGGCUCACUCCCACA